Molecule: ribosomal RNA, 426 nt
Filed under: uncultured prokaryote
Description: bacterial SSU rRNA
Rfam family: Bacterial small subunit ribosomal RNA
Source: RNAcentral
UAACGAAUAUUGGGCAAUGGGCGCAAGCCUGACCCAGCGACGCCGCGUGUGGGAAGAAGUUCUUCGGAAUGUAAACCACUGUCAGGGAUUACCAAGCAAGUGCGCCUAACAUGCGCGCAAGUUGAGGCAUCCCAGAGGAAGCCACGGCUAACUUCGUGCCAGCAGCCGCGGUAAUACGAAGGUGGCGAGCGUUGUUCGGAAUCACUGGGCUUAAAGAGCACGUAGGCGGCUCAUCAAGUACUUUGUGAAAUCCCAUGGCUCAACCAUGGAAUUGCUGUGUAUACUGUUCGAGCUUGAGGCAGGUAUGGGCGUGUGGAACUCUUGGUGGAGCGGUGGAAUGCGUAGAUAUCAAGAGGAACGCCGGAGGCGAAAGCGAUGCGCUGGGCCUGUCCUGACGCUGAGGUGCGAAAGCCAGGGGAGCAAACG